UCUUCAUUCUUCGCACUCUCUCACCGGUCAGAGAGCCGAGAGAGCACGGGAAAUGAAGAGA
Molecule: microRNA precursor, 61 nt
Filed under: Pristionchus pacificus
Lineage: Eukaryota; Metazoa; Nematoda; Chromadorea; Rhabditida; Neodiplogasteridae
Description: mir-8364 microRNA precursor family
Rfam family: mir-8364 microRNA precursor family
Source: Rfam by way of RNAcentral